ACCUAGACGUCAUAGUCUAGCGGCACAAGGUUCGUCAAAAUGGCAUUUGUGCUUAAAAAAACAGUUAAUAAGCAUUUGUGCUUAAAAAAAAAGAGGAGUUGGCAGCAUAGGCAGUAGGGCUUCUCUCGUGAGCGGGAAGUCACCUAGACGUCAUAAUCUAGUGGCACAAGGGCCGUCCAGCCUAGAAUGUCGGGACCUCAACCAGUGGCAACUCAAUUGAGACCGGAUGUAACAUCAUGAUAGCAUCUAUGCACGAGACCCGGGGGAGAGAUAUGGGCCGUCCAGCCUAGAAUGUAGGGACCUCAACCAGUGGCAACUCAAUUGAGACCGGAUGUAACAUCAUGAUAGCAUCCAUGCACGAGACCCGGGGGAGAGAUAUGGGCCGUCCAGCCUAGAAUGUAGGGACCUCAACCAGUGGCAACUCAAUUGAGACCGGAUGUAACAUCAUGAUAGCAUCCAUGCACGAGACCCGGGGGAGAGAUAUGGGCCGUCCAGCCUAGAAUGUAGGGACCUCAACCAGUGGCAACUCAAUUGAGACCGGAUGUAACAUCAUGAUAGCAUCCAUGCACGAGACCCGGGGGAGAGAUAUCUCCUAUACCCUCGAUCCCCCAACAACGGCCAAACACUGCCAACUCCUGCCCCCCACGGCUAGGGUGACAAGCUUGUGCCACCGAGCUCGGCGGGAGCAACUCGUUCGUCUCCUCUUUUAUAUGGGUUUAAACCGCUGUAGAUUUUCCGUAUGGUACAAAUUAAAACUUCGUUUCUGUCUAUACGAAUUGCGUCUCCGAUAUGGCUUAAAGGCAGGCCCGGCCCGCAGCGCUGCCUCGAACGCCAUGGCGACGAACAGCAUGGCCACACCGCUAUCAGCCAGCCGCGCAUGCACACAACAAGCCGUCCUGUCGUUGUUGCAGCAACUGCUCGCCACCGCCGCCGCUGCCACCAUCUUCACCGGCGACCGCGACGGCGGCGGCGGCGGCUGCGGCAGCCCGGCGGCCGCUGUUCUGAACGACGGUCGUCAUGUACGUCUCACUGAUGUCAAUCACCAGCCGGAUGUUCUAUGUGUCCAGAUUGAUAAAUAAACAUAAUUAGCUUAAUUAGUGAGCUACUCAUCGUUAAAUAUACUCAUCAACAGUAAAUUCCAUGCAUUUUGCAGCUAAGACCAUGUUUAGAUCCUCCAAAAUUUUGUAGCACUUUUUUGCCAUUUUGGAUCUAAACACUAGUAGCAAAAGUUGGCAAUUUGGCAUUUGGCAUUUGCUAGUCUAUAGUAGCAAAUUAUGCCAAAAAAAUACUUUGGGACCACUCCCUCUCUCUUUCUCUCUCACUUUAGUGCUAGAAUGGCAAAACUUUAACAUCCAUCUAAACACCAACGAGUACUUUUGCAAUGCCAAAACUUUUGCCACCAAAACUUUUGCCAUUUGCCAUUUGCCAUUCCAAAUGGAUCUAAACAGGCCCUAAGAAGAGAGAGAUUUUUUUUGAGAAAGACGACGGCAGGAGCUCUGCCGAAAUUUAAUUAAGAAGGAAAACAGAGUACAAACAGAUCCUUGAUUAAAAAAAUAGAGACACAACUUAAGGAGGCUUAAACGCCCAGCUACACAAGUCUAAGAAGAGAAAGAUUAACCGACCAGGACAGAAUCGGCAGGAGUUGUCUGGAUAGAUCGACGAGAUGUACAAUCCUUUGAUGAUUGAUUACGGUUUUGUAUAAGACGCCAUUAUUAUGUACUCUGCUCAUGCAUCUUCACCUGCUCUACAAUUCUAAGUUGUUCACUAGAAUUGGCAAGUCUAGAGAAGCCGAGUAGCUGACUAAUACCCAGCCACCAAACUGCUAACAGCAGAAUAAUUAAGACAAGAGACUCUCUAGUGAAGAAUUAGUGAGGUUUAGCGUGGUGUGAAAUUAACAAGAGACCCGGGAGCUGCCUCGAUCCGCAGCUGCGUCAGAAUAUUAUUCAGGUAGCUGAAAAUUAGCACCAUUGAUGUUUUGGUUGAGCACAAAAUAAGGGGCAGAGAUAGAGAUCACUAUGAUCAUUACUGCUUCCUCUGAUUCCCUUAGCCUAAAGUGUUUGAUUAGGAAUUUCUAUGCCACCAUUUUUCUUGGUCUUGUGUACCCCAUAAACUAUAUUGCUGAUAUUAAAAAUAGACACCAUCCCAAUCGUGUCACGCUUUCGUCAACACGGUGCAGUAAGAGUCCUCCUCCUACCCUCAAUGGCGGGCCAUGGCGUUGGUUGUGGGGGAUGUGAGUGUGACACGCUCCUCUCGUAGCGCAAGGUGGCGAAGAUCGCCGACCAGCUCACGUGUGCGUCGGAUCUGCUCUCCCUUUGUGGGGCGAGGAUGAUUCCUUGUCGCACUGCCACUAGUUGUGACCUCCGUCUUCGCGCCGAGGCCUGUACCUCUUCCCCACCAUCACCUGUGUUGGGCCUCCUCGGCAGCCUUCAUGAGUGGCCGCCGCCAGGCAGUCCCCUCCACAUCCGUGACGACCUCAGCACACCCGUUGGCCACCUCCACCUCUCUCCAAGCCAUCUCUGGUCUGUCCACAAGCGUCGGCUCCCCCACUGCCAUGGGCACCUCCCAGCAAGCGCCAGCCUCAGGUGCAGCAGGUCUUAGCGGCAAUGACGAAGAUGACGAGCUGCUAGGGCUUGGCUUUGGGCUGGGGCCGGUGAGGUGGCGAGCGAUGGGUAGAUAUCGACAGCGACCGAGAUGAGUCAAGGAAGAGAAGACCAAGAGAGGAAGAAGCAUAACUGCCAUGUGUGUGUCACGUAGGACCAAAACCACUCUAGAGCAAGUCAAGGGUGCAAUUUGUUCGGUAUGCAAAGUUGAGGGUGAAGGUUGUUUGAUUUUGUGGUUUAUGGGAGUAAUUCGUACUCAUACAAUAGUACAUAGGGGUAAUUCAGACUUUUUCCUAUAGCAUUGGAUAGUGCUCUUUAAGGCUUUUUCCGUCCAAGCCACAUAUCCUCUUUUAAAUGAAUUUGAGUUCCAUUUUUCAACAGAAAAGAACCUGGACACAAAACUCAUGUUUGACCAUCAAACCUAACAAAAAGUGAGAAUCGCUUGAUUUCUUUUCAACUAAAGAUAUAGUUUUCUUCCAUCAAUUUUGUUUCAUAGAAUAUUUUGCCACACCCCUUCCUCAUUUAUUAACCUGAAUAACUAUUUGCGGAGCAAACAUUUAGUUUGCUCAUUCAAGUUUAGAAUACCCAAUCAUUAUAAUCAGGUUUUUUAAAAAAAAUCCCCAAAGGAUCGUAAAACGGUUAACAUAAAUAUUGGUAAGCUCCUCAACAUUGAAUUAACAAGAGUUGGAUUACUACCUGCAGAUAAUAAUUUGCUCUUCCAACAACUUAGCUUUUUUUUUUCUAAAACCUGUCCUCUACUUCUUUCCAAUCUUUAUUUAGGUCGAUCCUCUAAGACAUAGGUUUUAAUGCUUUAAACCCAUUUGGCACAUUUAGAGUUUGGAUCGAUUGUAUUGAUCAAAUCCGUGGAUGAUCUCGUGAGUGGAAAGGGUGCGAAAAUAAGAAUGUACCAUGAAUUUAAAAAGAAAAGAGGAGUUGGACAGGAUAGGACCGUCGCUUCUCUCAUGAUCGAUUGUAGUGAUCAAAUCCGUGGAUGAUCUCGUGAGUGGAAAGGGUGUGAAAAUAAGAAUGUACCAUGUUUUUUUUAAAAAAAAUGAGGAGUUGGAUAGGAUAGGGUUGUGGCUUCUCCCGUGAGUAGAAAGGGAGUGAGUGUGAAAAUAAGAAUGUACCAUGUUUUUUUAAAAAAAAUGAGGAGUUGGACAGGAUAGGGUUGUGGCUUCUCUCGUGAGUAGAAAGGGAGUGACCUAGACGUUUUUGUUAGGCGGCGCAAGGGCCGACCCGAACACAACGCUAGAGUAGUCACAAACUAGUUGCAACCUAACCUCAAUUGGGUAGGGGCUUGGAUGAACAUCCACAAUCCUCCUGGGCCAAAGUCGGCUAUAGAACGAGCAUCCGGCACGAGACCCGGGGGAGAAAUAUCUCCUAUAUACCUCGAUCCCCCAACAACGGCCAAACCCUGCCAACUCCCGCCCCCCUGCAGCUGGGAUUACAAGCUCGC
Molecule: long non-coding RNA, 4056 nt
Filed under: Oryza sativa (Asian cultivated rice)
Lineage: Eukaryota; Viridiplantae; Streptophyta; Magnoliopsida; Poales; Poaceae
Description: long non-coding RNA (OSAT_LNC000929)
Source: RNAcentral